RNAcentral lists this ribosomal RNA (253 nucleotides) under uncultured bacterium. RNAcentral's name for it is "partial 16S ribosomal RNA". It matches the Rfam family "Bacterial small subunit ribosomal RNA", at positions 524 to 776 of the family's 1533-position model. The record is from RNAcentral.
UACGUAGGGCGCGAGCGUUGUCCGGAAUUAUUGGGCGUAAAGAGCUCGUAGGCGGCCUGUUGCGUCUGCUGUGAAAUCCCGGGGCUUAACCCCGGGCGUGCAGUGGAUACGGGCAGGCUGGAGGCAGGCAGGGGAGAACGGAAUUCCCGGUGUAGCGGUGAAAUGCGCAGAUAUCGGGAGGAACACCGGUGGCGAAGGCGGUUCUCUGGGCCUGUACUGACGCUGAGGAGCGAAAGCGUGGGGAGCGAACAGG